Molecule: long non-coding RNA, 354 nt
Filed under: Equus caballus (horse)
Lineage: Eukaryota; Metazoa; Chordata; Mammalia; Perissodactyla; Equidae
Description: lncRNA (ENSECAG00000055856.1)
Source: RNAcentral
UUAAGGCUUUUAUAUUAUGUGAAUACCAUGGAAGCAUCAUGGAAGACACUAGCAUAUGGGGAAAACAUUACCAUGAAGACAUCCUGGCAUGCAGGAGCCGAUUUCCUCUGUUGAUGAGGACAGGACAGUCCAGAACAGACAGAUGCAGAGAAAAAAGGGAUAUUCUGUUUUCAGUGGAGCUUAUUUUUCUUUCAGAUUACAGUCCAGGUAAAAAGGAUGCUCGACUACCCUAAUCUUGUGGGUUGUGUCCUGUGGGCUGGUUUUGGCUGGAAUUCUACAGGUGAAAUGACUGCAGCCUUCUGUCUGCGAGGAGCCUUUGUUAUCUCCACAGGGGAAGAUUAGCCCUGAGCUAAC